GACGAACGCUGGCGGCGUGCCUAACACAUGCAAGUCGAACGGGGUUGUUCCUUCGGGGACAACUUAGUGGCGAACGGGUGAGUAACGCGUGAGAAACCUGCCUUUCAGUGGGGGACAACAGUUGGAAACGACUGCUAAUACCGCAUAACACUUUAGUACCGCAUGGUACAGAAGUCAAAGCUUUAUGUGCUGAAAGAUGGUCUCGCGUCUGAUUAGCUAGAUGGCGGGGUAACGGCCCACCAUGGCGACGAUCAGUAGCCGGUCUGAGAGGAUGAACGGCCACAUUGGGACUGAGAUACGGCCCAGACUCCUACGGGAGGCAGCAGUGGGGAAUAUUGGGCAAUGGGGAACCCUGACCCAGCAACGCCGCGUGAAGGAAGAAGGCC
This 386-nucleotide ribosomal RNA is filed under the name uncultured bacterium. RNAcentral describes it as "bacterial SSU rRNA". It matches the Rfam family "Bacterial small subunit ribosomal RNA", at positions 28 to 416 of the family's 1533-position model. The record is from RNAcentral.